GUGUGUGUGAGAAGCACCUCCCUCGGUGGGAUUAGGUCCUGCCUCCUCAGCCACCAAGUCAGCGUGCACACAGCCCAGGAGUGCAGACAUGAAGCGUACGCUGGUUUGUGUGCUGAUGGCUGCCUGGAGCCUCGGAAGUGGCGACCAGACAGUCAAGCAGCCGGGGGGGGACGUGCACGUGGUGAAGGGCAACCCAGCGACACUGGACUGCAGCUACAAAAGCGCUGGAACUAACAGCUACAUCUUCUGGUACAAACAGAACAGCCAGGCAGCUCCAGAGUUUAUCCUGAGGCGCUACAGCAUUGGUCAGGAAAAGACUGUGAGCAGAAUUGACAAGAGGUUCAGUAGCACCAUCAACGUCAGUACCCAGCAAGCUCCUCUGGUGAUCCAAGACGUGCAGCUGAACGACUCUGCCAUCUACUACUGCGCCCUGCAGCCCACAAUGACUGACAGCUCUGCUGCACACGCGCAAAAACUCCUGUAGGCCCCUCAAGUCAAAGGUCCCAUGGUGGCAUGGCCUCACAAAUAUUUAUUUUUUCGCUGUGUUCAAAAGCUGGUUCGAAGUAGGUUUUCAGAGCUUUUGCUGUCCAUUGCCAACGUUUUAGUUUUUUUUAAUUUUUUUUAUUCUCACCAGCCUCUUAAAGCUUGCUAGCCCGUUGGCUAAACCGUUAAGGUGGAGAAGGCGUAACCUCAACUAAAUACACGUGUUACCUCCAUUUCAACAUGACGUGUUGUUUGUUGUAAAUAUGAGAGCCAAAGCAGACUUGAAUUUUUCAAAUAAAUUGUCAUUUUUCCAUCCAAAUAUGCAAAUCUGAAAACGUUUUGCACCACCGACCGC
This is a non-coding RNA of Dunckerocampus dactyliophorus (ringed pipefish), 838 nucleotides long. Lineage: Eukaryota; Metazoa; Chordata; Actinopteri; Syngnathiformes; Syngnathidae. The record is from the annotation of a RefSeq genome assembly.